This 494-nucleotide ribosomal RNA is filed under the name uncultured bacterium. RNAcentral describes it as "partial 16S ribosomal RNA". It matches the Rfam family "Bacterial small subunit ribosomal RNA", at positions 28 to 507 of the family's 1533-position model. The record is from RNAcentral.
GACGAACGCAGGCGGCGUGCUUAACACAUGCAAGUCGAACGGAAAGGCCUGCUUUCCCUUGUGGAUUGCGGGUACUCGAGUGGCGAACGGGUGAGUAACACGUGAGUGAUCUGCCCCCAACUUGGGUAUAAGCCUGGGAAACUGGGUCUAAUUCCCGAUAGGACUGCAGGGUGGUGCCUGUGGUGGAAAACGAUUUUCUAGUGGUUGGGGAUGAGCUCGCGGCCUAUCAGCUUGUUGGUGGGGUAAUGGCCUACCAAGGCGGCGACGGGUAGCCGGCCUGGGAGGGUGGACGGCCACAUUGGGACUGGGAUACGGCCCAGACUCCUACGGGAGGCAGCAGUGGGGAAUAUUGCACAAUGGGCGGAAGCCUGAUGCAGCGACGCCGCGUUGGGGAUGACGGCCUUCGGGUUGUAAACUCCUUGCGACCGCGAGGAAGCCACCUGGUUGGAAGGGUGGUGACGGUAGUGGUAGAAGAAGCACCGGCUAACUACGUG